GGGCCACAUCAAGCUUUGCCUUUUUGCAGUCUGCAUUUCUCUCUGUUGUUAUAUAGAAGCUUUUGCUGUACUUUUUAACCAGGAUGAGUAUUUUUGUGUUUCCGUGCCUCUUGGGUCCCCAGCUAUUCGUGCAGUUGCAGAGCUGGCUACUCUUCUUACACUAGGUUGGUUUCUGUGUUUACUACCUAACUGAGCUGGUUUUAGCUGAGGCUAAACCCUGAUUAAUGACUAUUAAAGCAAAACGGUGCUUUUGCCAAGCAUAGGGGUUAAAUAUAGUUAUGUGCUGAUAAUUGGAUGUGGUAAACAACUCUAUUUUAAUGUCAAUAAUAUUUUAAAGACAACAGUUUAUAGGAAUGAACUAAUCUGCUGUUUAACAUCACAAUGUAGAUGAGCAUGUACCUUACUUUGUACAUGGAUGAAAUAAGACUUGCUCAGUUUGGAAAGGCCUCAUUUUUGCAAGGGAUAGUGUGUCACCAUGGUUGUUACUCUUACAAAUAAGAAUAAAGUACUGAAAGGUGUUGCCUAGAAAGGCUUGCACUUCUGCCAGCUGUGCUUAUGCAAUGUAGUUGGAAGAUGAAGUAACUGAAAGAAACUGUUAUGUAAACAUCAUUACUAGAAUGCUUUCAGAGAUCAAAAGGUAAAUCCCAGAAAGCCUUCAGCAGCCAAAAAUGUUUUCUUUCAUAGAGUAGCAGGGCUGACAACCAAAGACGACACUGGGUCCAUUCCCCUGCCCCAGUUAUAGUUAUGUCACUGUUGGCAUAAAAUUGCCUGAAAGGGCUCUGGGGCAGAAGACUCCACAGUUUGUUUCAGUGCUUCCCUGUCCUUGCUGUCAGCAAAUCCCCUACUAUAUUCUCCAUGCAUCUCUCUUGCAGCCCAUUUAUGCUAUCCACCAGGUCCACAGAGAAGAGCUUACUUUCCUUCUGCACAACAGUCUUUUACAUACCUAAAGAUUGCUGUUACUUCUAUUACAGCUGUUGCUCUUUUUCUAGUCAAAAUUAUAUUUGAAUUGUAUUUCUCUACUUAGAGGUAGCAUUUUCUAGAGCCCUUUAACGUUCCUGCUUCUCUCCUUCUGUGAUUUACCACUCCAGCCAUUGCCCUCACUGAUGCUGAACUGGUUUGUAUGGCUUGUUUGCUGUACUGCAGUACACACCCAAGUAUUGUGGUUUGUUUUUUCUUGCAGUGGUAUAAUCUUUAAUUUCCCAGCCUGUGCUCCCACGCUCCCUUUUGUGCAAAUUGUCUUGAACAUCUUUGAAGCGUUUUUUGCCCUUUUUUAAAAUUUCUGUAAUAAGCAAUAAUAACCUGCAUGUAAAAUUUCUGUGGUCAGGUUCAUUGUAUUUCACCUUGCAUUACUGAGAAGGUUUCUCUGCCUUUGGGUGAUAAUUUGAGCUCUAAUUUUGUCCAGUCCAUUUUCUGGUUGCAGAUUAACUAGACCAAGUCUGCUUGGAACUUGAGAAUCAUUCUAUUUCUACCGGAGACCACUGUUGACUGAUUUCUGGGCAUUUUGUUCAUCCUGUGGUUGCUAUUUCCUUGACAAGCUUAUGAAAAUCAAGGUAUGGAAAGACUUUCUGAAGACAAAUCAAAAACAGUCAUCCUAAAAUGCAAUUACUCAUGACUAGGCAAUUGUGGAAUCUUCUGUUUUGACCUGAAAGUUCUCUGCGUUGCCCUCAAUUCUGCGUUGUUCCCAGUGCCAUACAAUAGUCAUACUGUGUGAGGAAGGAAGGUAUGCAGUACCUGCCCAAGCAGCUCAGAAAUUCGGGAGCAGGGUUGAGGAUGGUGAAGUCUACAGAGCCAGUAGGUAUGUUUAGAACCCAAAUACAUGCUUUGGGGUGCCAGCCUUGCACAUGUUCAAUGUCAGAGCAAGAACAGAGUUGCACAUGUUCUGGCUUCCAGUCUCUACUCCCUGACUUCUCUUCCUCCACAUUAACCCUGCCACCAGCCAGCCUCUGCUUCAGUAACAACAGACAUCUCAGAGGCUAUCAGUGAGAUAAAAGGAAGAGCUGAAAUGGCCAAAGGAAAAGUUUGAGCUCCUCCUCUUCUAGUGUGUUAAGGGGCCAGAUUAUAGGCUGUUAGAUCAUCUGCCUUUGAUAUGUAGCAUGUGUUUUGAGGAGGAGAGGGCAGGGAAAGGGCUUACUUUAUCAUGUAAAGUGCUUUUUUUUCCCACCCAUUUUCUAGCAAGCAUAAACUGAGAUUUGGCCAGGUUUCAGUGACACAGCCUUCAACCUCUGAAACUCAGGUAGGGCUGCUCAUAUAGAUAAUGUGCUUGUAAAUCAGCCGCUGGUUUUGCUGUAUGAGAUUUUAAUUAGUGUUAGAAACUUUCUUUAGGGCUUUUAUUACAAGAAAAAAAAAAUGUAGACAACUAAAGUGCAUUUAACUGCUCAGUGCCAGGAAUUGGGUGCUCUCGGCUUUGUGCUUGUUUUACACGUGGCUCAGUUGUACCAUAGCUCUGCCAAGUGCUGGUCCUAACUAAGUUUAAUUUGAAGGAUGCCAAACAAAAUCAUUUACAAAUUGGUGUGAUAUAUAUAUAUAUAAAGUGAAAUGUGCAAAGAAAACGUGUAAGACAUUUCAUAACGUUAGUUUGCUUUUUGUAUUGUAAUUUCAUAGGAAGUGAAGAAGUGAGAAAAGCAAGCUCAGAGGAUAUCCUUUCUGUGCAUCCCGAAUGCCUUCACAUUACUUCCCAAGUACUCUUCUUACCUUGGCUUAGCGAUGAGAGCAUGGAAAUGAUGUUUCUCUGGUGAUCCUUUUUGCUGUUGUAAGUUGGAAUUUAUUUUUAAAGCAGUGUUUGAAAGAAAUCUGUAUGCUUAACACAAACUGCCUCUCCAAAUCUCUUCUGUAAUGAGUUCUAUGCAGCAAUAACAUUUCCUAAAGGUAUGUGCAUACUUACAAAACACUGCUUUAACCAUUUGGCUGUAAGGGCUUAAUCUGUCUCUAUUAUGUUGCCUACUCAGGGUUUGUGAAGUGGCUUCUGACAUUUCUUUGUGUUAGGUCUGGUUUAUGAAGUGCUUCUCUGAAUGAAUAGUGACUCUGCAUCGAGUGCUGUGCAAAACACAGGGAGGGGAGGUGAUCUAAGCACCCAAGAGCCGAACCAGAAUUCUUCAUGCACCCAAGACAAGCCACUGACAUUGUGCUGGAAGCUUUGUUUGCAAAGAAUAAUGCUGGAUUGCACUAUAAGCAAUGGCUCUUUGCCAAACAAUACACACGUUUCUCUUGGCAUGAAAUCAUGUAAUAUAAACAAUGGCAGGGAAAAAAUAGUUUGUGGAUAAGCAUAAGCUGAGAUAUAAAAACAUCAUGUACAAUAGUGAGCAGUAGGGAGACUGGAAAACGUAACGCAGGUUUCCUUUCUGUUUUGUUCCUUCUUGCUGGCACUCUCGUGAACUGUGCUUAUGGCACUGUCCUUUCCAACUGCAAAAACAUGACUUAACUAUCAAACUGUAUUUCUUAACUACCAAAAUUACUUCCUCAAAAGGAUCCAAACGCCUACUGGUUAUGAGCUGGGAAAGAACUGCACGCCUUAAGCCUGUUAGAAGUUUUGAUAAUGAAGCAGUUUCUAUUUUAUUGGUCUUUCAACAGCAGCUGUUGGUGAUUAGUUAAUCAGAAGUAUCUGUCUUAGUUGAACUUUUUUAAUGACUGGUGCUUGUUCAUGUUCUCGUUUUUUCCAUCUUUCUGGCAGCAGGUGGAGCCAGAAGUUCAGCUUUACACUAAGAGCUUACUGCUGUUGGAGUUCUCUACUCCUGAGGGCUUGCUUUUGUCUUUACCGAUACAAGAAUGUGACCCAGGGUUUGUCUCGCUGCUGGGUGCUGUGUCAAAACGUAGCUUAUGCUGUGCACUCAAGGCCAAUCUUGGGUAGAGGGAACUGCACGAACUGCUUCGUCUAUCUCUAGUAUGAUCAGUACUUGGCAGUUCAUAGUUGUCAGUGUUAGGCUGAUAGGGAUGUAGGACCAUCUGAGAAAGAGGAUGAAGGAAAAAAAGAGGUUUUAUUUCUCAAAGAACUGAAGUAAGGCAAAUCAGAAGGAAAGUGGGGGGUUGUAACAGAACUUGAAAUACUACUUGACAUUAGGAAGUUGCCUUCUGUGGGCAUCCCAGUGGUGCUUUGGUCCAGAGUGAGAGCCAGGACAAGUUGGGUUUCCUGUGUUUGUACAGCAAGAAGUGAGCUUUAUAAAACAUCUACUUUUCCCCUCAGGAAAACAGAUGAGAAAAAUGUGGUGCCAGCAAUGUCAAUCAAUCAAACAGAUCUAGAACUACCCUCAGGGAAACCUCAGCACACCACUGCAUUGACCACUGCUUGGUUGAGGGCUUGGCAUCUGCUCCUGAGGCAUUGCUUUGUCUGCAAGGAGCUGGAGGGGGUUCUUUGGUCCCACUCAGACACUGUGCAGUCAGAGAACUCAUGGGGUCAAGGCAGCCCUGCUUACAGCACUGCUUUGUUUUUCUUUCAAAUACAAGUUCAGAUGCUUUUAUUUUCAUAUUUGGGUUAGUCUGUAUUCAUCCUGCAGCAUCGUGUGCUAACACGGCACAGAUAAGAAGUGACCAUAACAAAUCCUGCCCCGUUGUUUCCCUCCUCAGUGCUGUCUGUCUGUCUGUAUGGUCUUGUUUGCAGAAAUCUGAGCAGGGACUGAGAUGUCUGGAAAAUCCCCAAGCUGUUAUCGGCUCUAGUCCAAAUAAAUAAGAGUAGAAAGCAACUCCCACUCAUUCCUGUAUGAAAUCCUAUUAAUUUUCCAUGAUUUAGGCUAUGUAUAAAGACCUGCAGGAGUAUUGACCCUUUGCACAAUGUGCAAACCAAACAAAGGCCUGGACCUUGGAUGAACUCCCAGUCCUUCCCUGGGGUCUGACACAUGGAGACCUAAUUCUCAACGUAAUACGCUCAUUCGGAAUAGAUGUGAAGUGAGAAUGGGGAAAAGCUGUCUGCAUUGCACAACUCCACUUGAAAUAACAGAAGGAACAGUGUGUAAGGGCAUAAUUCACACUGAGCACCUGACUGAGCUGUAGUUGGCUGUCCAACUCACUGGCUUGUCCUGCAGUGGUGGGGCUGGGGAGUGAACCCCCCUGCCUGGGGGAGAUGAGCAAUGGCUGAGACUGAAAAUCUCCUUUCUGCUCAGCAGGUGCUGUGGCUGCCCUACUGUAGAACCAGUUGCAGCCCCCAGCCAAAGCUCUUCU
This 5148-nucleotide long non-coding RNA is filed under the name Gallus gallus (chicken). The record is from RNAcentral. Lineage: Eukaryota; Metazoa; Chordata; Aves; Galliformes; Phasianidae.